This is a long non-coding RNA of Branchiostoma floridae (Florida lancelet), 394 nucleotides long. RefSeq lists it as uncharacterized. The record is from RefSeq and is a predicted model, not a curated record. The transcript has 3 exons. Lineage: Eukaryota; Metazoa; Chordata; Leptocardii; Amphioxiformes; Branchiostomatidae.
AUGUAGGCCUGGGAUAUCAUACAAGGCAUAACAUGCAAUUCAACCGAACUUUGAUGGAUCUUUUAAUGCUGACAAACUGUCGAACAGCUGAUCAACAAAAAUGCCAAGGUUGUCAAGAUGCACAGAGGAUCUUUGCCACCUUCUUGGUUCUGAAUGACAUGGACGUGACCGGAUGGACGAUGGCGCAGUACCGGUCUACACUCAGCACGGCCAGGGUUAGGCAGGUCGCCUGCACGGUCACCUGUAGACCUGCAUCAUGUAGCUGACAAACUUGCACAUGAACAGCCCCAGUUCCCACUCGAACGUGACGUGUUUGACGGCGCUGAACGGGAGACAGCAGAUGAGGAAGGCGAGGUCCGUGACGGCCAGGUUGGAGAUGUAGUAGUUGGUGACG